Molecule: long non-coding RNA, 539 nt
Filed under: Homo sapiens (human)
Lineage: Eukaryota; Metazoa; Chordata; Mammalia; Primates; Hominidae
Description: HSALNT0192294
Source: RNAcentral
AUUUUGAAGUAAGAUAUCUGAACUGAUUUAAUGAAGAAGAAGCAAACAAGCAAAAUGGAAAAAAAAACAGCUCCAUGCCACAAGCAUUGCAGUAUCAAACUGAAUAUGAAUUCUUUGCAUAUGCAUGUGCCCAUUAAAUGACUCAGAACUAAGAUAAUUGCCUGCUAAGGAAGAAGCUGCCUCAUCCUCCAUUUGUUUUACACAGAGAAUCACCUGCAGCAGAUUCGGAAUUGAAGCUGCUGUUGAAACUUGUGAAUCCAUGUCUCUAGAACCGCAGUGAAGACUAACGCAGUCGUCAUGAAAUAUUUUCAUUAGUGUUUUAUUAUUUCAGCCCUUGAGUGGGUUAUCUCCAUUACAUUUUUAUCUACACUAGUGGGAGACAGCUCUAGCGUUUUAUUUUCAUUAGUUUUCCUCUGCUCCCCUUAGGGAAGCUCAGCUGCAUUUGCACAGUUAAACUUACUUAAUUUUGCCCGUCUUUAUCUAAGGCACCUAGAGCAAGCACCGUUUCUUGGGUCAGGCAGCCUUCUAAUGGUUUUUGG